Long non-coding RNA from Oreochromis aureus, 1212 nucleotides. Lineage: Eukaryota; Metazoa; Chordata; Actinopteri; Cichliformes; Cichlidae. The record is from Ensembl.
GUAUUAAUGCCACUUCAGUUUCUGUAUGCAAUUUAAAAUCUCAAAUUAUAGGGAUUUGACGACACUACCAUUACUACAAAGUUAUUCUGGCUAAUUAUAAUAAACUACAUACAAGAAAAAAUGGGUGGGAAAAUGUGUUUAUCUCAAAUAAAAGUGGAAACUUAACCCCCCGAAAAGAAUACAGAUAAUUGAAAUGAUUUAAUUUACUUAUAAAUCUACCUAAAUGAGAUAACAAAUGUAUAUUUGUGCUUCUGUUUAUUUAGACUGGGAUAUAGCUGACAAUAAAAAUAACUGAAAAUACUGAAAACUAACUGAAACUAAUUCCAAUUUAAAAGAAAAAAUAAAACACUAAAUUAAAACAAAAAAAAGAGGAUUAUAAAACUAUAAAUACAUCGUCUAAUAAUUUUGAGGCGAUUGAAAAGUCCUUUUGAGCUUUUAUUUUUUUACAGUUAACUGACUGACUUCCGGUUAUGGCUUUUCUAACUGAGUGCCUCUCCGCGCAGCCUGUACUCUUCAAGCCCCAUCAAACACGAGUCCGUCGGUCUGGCUGCGCAAGGCAACUGAACACUACGAGCAGCGAGUGGUUAUUCCAGCCCAAACCUCCAACUUAGCAAACAGUGUUAGCUCUAAAUAUCAUCCCUGUCCGUCGGUAAGCGCUGCACUUUGCUUUCCGCUUCCUUCUGAGGACUUCAACUCGCGCUGGUCAAAUUGUCGGCAGACCAAAUACGGAGAAAUAAAACGAAAUAACGGACACGUCUCGGCUGAAAUGCACGGCUGUUGUUACUGUCUUUUGAGGAGGAGGGUGUCCGACACAGAGCUGUAGUUUCUCUUCCAAGAAGGCGAGGAAUGCAAGCUGAGCAUCAAUGUUUCACUGGGGCAAGUGGAAGAAGAGGAUGGGAGCCAACAGUUCUUCAAAGAGACCCGUUUUCGACGAAAAGGAAGAUGUACACAGGCUCAGUUAUCAAAGUUCCUGUUAGGAAAUUAAACGCUGUCAAAGGAGUUUAGACGGAGUUUGGCUGCUCACGGCGAACAGACAGUGUUCAUGUGGGACAUUUUCAAGGCUUGAAGUCAAACUUUCUACUACAGGAGGCAGCAGCAACAAUAAUAAUGAUAAUAAUAAAAAUAAUAAUGCGAGAUUAAAUGUACAUUUUCAUCACAUGACCUGAUGCUGACUGCAUAUACAUGGAAAGACCCCGAGCAGGUGAAAUAAAU